Molecule: ribosomal RNA, 474 nt
Filed under: uncultured Desulfobulbus sp.
Lineage: Bacteria; Pseudomonadati; Thermodesulfobacteriota; Desulfobulbia; Desulfobulbales; Desulfobulbaceae
Description: bacterial SSU rRNA
Rfam family: Bacterial small subunit ribosomal RNA
Source: RNAcentral
UGACGGGCCGCACAAGCGGUGGAGUAUGUGGUUUAAUUCGAUGCAACGCGAAGAACCUUACCUGGUCUUGACAUCCCGGAGACCCUUAGGAAACUAGGGGGUGCUUCCAUCUGGAAGAAUCUGGAGACAGGUGCUGCAUGGCUGUCGUCAGCUCGUGUCGUGAGAUGUUGGGUUAAGUCCCGCAACGAGCGCAACCCUUGCCUUUAGUUGCCAGCAGUUCGGCUGGGCACUCUAAAGGGACUGCCGGUGUUAAACCGGAGGAAGGUGGGGAUGACGUCAAGUCCUCAUGGCCUUUAUGACCAGGGCUACACACGUACUACAAUGGCCGAUACAAAGGGCAGCGACACUGCGAGGUGAAGCCAAUCCCGUAAAAUCGGUCUCAGUCCGGAUUGGAGUCUGCAACUCGACUCCAUGAAGUUGGAAUCGCUAGUAAUCGUGGAUCAGCAUGCCACGGUGAAUACGUUCCCGGGCCUU